GAAAAAAACCCUAGUUUCCCUUUUUCUUGUUGGUUUAUGAUUUGUACUCUUUCCAUAUUUGUAUUUCCUGUCUUUAGACUUUCCAUUAUUCUAUGACGGUGUAAUUCCCUAUAUAUGAAGGGCUCUUUAUGUUUAUGAAUAUACAGAAACAAGAAUACACAGAUUUCAUUCUCUUGUUUCACAACACGUUAUCAGCACGAUUACUCUAAGAACCCUAAGCUAAAGUCCCGAGACUCAAACCCUAAAACCUAGCCGGCGAUAAACCCUAAACCCGACGACGAACCCUAAUCUAACCGAGAACCUAAAACCCCAUACUCAAGGCGUUCCCGAUCUCAGCAC
RNAcentral lists this long non-coding RNA (339 nucleotides) under Brassica napus (rape). RNAcentral describes it as "long non-coding RNA (BNAP_LNC012049)". Lineage: Eukaryota; Viridiplantae; Streptophyta; Magnoliopsida; Brassicales; Brassicaceae. The record is from RNAcentral.